GGGGGGGGGGGGGGGGGGGCCUGGGGGGUGGGGGGGGGGCGGGCAGGCGGGGAGCUUGCGCCUGUGACGGUAGCGGCGGACGGGUGAGUAACGCGUGGGUAACCUCCCUAUAAGACUGGGAUAACUUCGGGAACCCGGAGCUAAUACCGGAUAAUAUAUUGAACCGCAUGGUUCAGUAGUGAAAGACGGUUUUGCUGUCCCUUAUAGAUGGAUCCGCGCCGCAUUAGCUAGUUGGUAAGGUAACGGCUUACCAAGGCAACGAUGCGUAGCCGACCUGAGAGGGUGAUCGGCCACACUGGAACUGAGACACGGUCCAGACUCCUACGGGAGGCAGCAGUAGGGAAUCUUCCGCAAUGGGCGAAAGCCUGACGGAGCAACGCCGCGUGAGUGAUGAAGGUCUUCGGAUCGUAAAACUCUGUUAUUAGGGAAGAACAAAUGUGUAAGUAACUAUGCACGUCUUGACGGUACCUAAUCAGAAAGCCACGGCUAACUACGUG
This 497-nucleotide ribosomal RNA is filed under the name uncultured bacterium. RNAcentral's name for it is "partial 16S ribosomal RNA". It matches the Rfam family "Bacterial small subunit ribosomal RNA", at positions 27 to 507 of the family's 1533-position model. The record is from RNAcentral.